AUUGAACGCUGGCGGCAGGCUUAACACAUGCAAGUCGAGCGGGGUGAUGGUGCUUGCACUAUCACUUAGCGGCGGACGGGUGAGUAAUGCUUAGGAAUCUGCCUAUUAGUGGGGGACAACAUCUCGAAAGGGAUGCUAAUACCGCAUACGUCCUACGGGAGAAAGCAGGGGAUCACUUGUGACCUUGCGCUAAUAGAUGAGCCUAAGUCGGAUUCGGUAGUUGGUGGGGUAAUGGCCUACCAAGCCGACGAUCCAUAGCUGGUUUGAGAGGAUGAUCAGCCACACUGGGACUGAGACACGGCCCAGACUCCUACGGGAGGCAGCAGUGGGGAAUAUUGGACAAUGGGGGGAACCCUGAUCCAGCCAUGCCGCGUGUGUGAAGAAGGCCUUAUGGUUGUAAAGCACUUUAAGCGAGGAGGAGGCUCUUUUGGUUAAUACCCAAGAUGAGUGGACGUUACUCGCAGAAUAAGCACCGGCUAACUCUGUGCCAGCAGCCGCGGUAA
RNAcentral lists this ribosomal RNA (503 nucleotides) under uncultured bacterium. Its description in RNAcentral is "partial 16S ribosomal RNA". It matches the Rfam family "Bacterial small subunit ribosomal RNA", at positions 30 to 523 of the family's 1533-position model. The record is from RNAcentral.